This 494-nucleotide ribosomal RNA is filed under the name uncultured bacterium. RNAcentral describes it as "partial 16S ribosomal RNA". It matches the Rfam family "Bacterial small subunit ribosomal RNA", at positions 28 to 507 of the family's 1533-position model. The record is from RNAcentral.
GACGAACGCUGGCGGCGCGCUUAACACAUGCAAGUCGAACGGAAAGGCCUGCUUUCCCUUGUGGAUUGCGGGUACUCGAGUGGCGAACGGGUGUGUAACACGUGAGUGAUCUGCCCCCAACUUGGGUAUAAGCCUGGGAAACUGGGUCUAAUUCCCGAUAGGACUGCAGGGUGGUGCCUGUGGUGGAAAACGAUUUUCUAGUGGUUGGGGAUGAGCUCGCGGCCUAUCAGCUUGUUGGUGGGGUAAUGGCCUACCAAGGCGGCGACGGGUAGCCGGCCUGGGAGAGUGGACGGCAGCAGUGGGACGGAGAUACGGCCCAGACUACUACGGGAGGCAGCAGUGGGGAAUAUUGCACAAUGGGCGGAAGCCUGAUGCAGCGACGCCGCGUGGGGGAUGACGGCCUUCGGGUUGUAAACUCCUUUCGACCGCGAGGAAGCCACCUGGUUGGAAGGGUGGUGACGGUAGUGGUAGAAGAAGCACCGGCUAACUACGUG